This 201-nucleotide long non-coding RNA is filed under the name Mytilus galloprovincialis (Mediterranean mussel). The record is from RNAcentral. Lineage: Eukaryota; Metazoa; Mollusca; Bivalvia; Mytilida; Mytilidae.
UGAUAUGCUGAAUCUAACAAUGUAUUUAGAUUUUGGAUAUUGGACCAUAAUAGGUAAUGUCCAAUUUAAAAUUUAAAGUUUUUAAGUUUAAGUUCUUAGACCACAUUCAUUAUGUGUCAGAAACCUAUGUUGUGUCAACUAUUUAAUCACAAUCCAAAUUCAGAGCUGUAUCAAGCUUGAAUGUUGUGUCCAUGCUUGCCC